AUGAUUGAAGUUUUUCUAUUUGGAAUCGUCUUAGGCCUAAUUCCUAUUACUUUAGCGGGAUUAUUCGUGACUGCGUAUUUGCAAUACAGGCGAGAUCCCGAAUAA
This 105-nucleotide ribosomal RNA is filed under the name Triticum aestivum (bread wheat). RNAcentral describes it as "partial small subunit ribosomal RNA". Lineage: Eukaryota; Viridiplantae; Streptophyta; Magnoliopsida; Poales; Poaceae. The record is from RNAcentral.